GAUGAACGCUGGCGGCGUGCCUAGUACAUGCAAGUCGAGCGAACAGACGAGGAGCUUGCUCCUCUGACGUUAGCGGCGGACGGGUGAGUAACACGUGGAUAACCUACCUAUAAUACUGGGAUAACUUCGGGAAACCGGAUCUAAUACCGGAUAAUAUAUUGAACCGCAUGGUUCAAUAGUGAAAGACGGUUUUGCUGUCACUUAUAGAUGGAUCCGCGCCGCAUUAGCUAGUUGGUAGGGUAACGGCUUACCAAGGCAACGAUGCGUAGCCGACCUGAGAGGGGGACCGGCCACAGUGGGAGAGAGAUACGGCCCAGACGGCGACGUGAGGAAGGAGUGGGGAAGAUUGCACAAGGGGUGGAAGCCGGAAGCAGAAACGCCGCGUGCGGGAGGACGGCCGUCGGGGGGUAAACAGCUGUCGCCUGUGACGAAGCGGGAGUGACGGGAAUGGGUAAAGAAGCACCGGCUAACUACGUG
RNAcentral lists this ribosomal RNA (477 nucleotides) under uncultured bacterium. RNAcentral's name for it is "partial 16S ribosomal RNA". It matches the Rfam family "Bacterial small subunit ribosomal RNA", at positions 28 to 507 of the family's 1533-position model. The record is from RNAcentral.